GACGAACGCUGGCGGCGUGCUUAACACAUGCAAGUCGAACGAUGAAGCCGGAGCUUGCUCUGGUGAAUUAGUGGCGAACGGGUGAGUAACACGUGAGUAACCUGCCCUUGACUCUGGGAUAACUGCGGGAAACUGUAGCUAAUACCGGAUACGACCCUCGGAGGCAUCUCCUGGGGGUGGAAAGAAUUUCGGUCAAGGAUGGACUCGCGGCCUAUCAGCUAGUUGGUGAGGUAAAGGCUCACCAAGGCGACGACGGGUAGCCGGCCUGAGAGGGUGACCGGCCACACUGGGACUGAGACACGGCCCAGACUCCUACGGGAGGCAGCAGUGGGAAAUAUUGCACAAUGGGCGCAAGCCUGAUGCAGCAACGCCGCGUGAGGGAUGACGGCCUUCGGGUUGUAAACCUCUUUCAGCAGGGAAGAAGCGAAAGUGACGGAACCUGCAGAAGAAGCACCGGCUAACUACGUGCCAGCAGCAGCCGCAG
Molecule: ribosomal RNA, 484 nt
Filed under: uncultured bacterium
Lineage: Bacteria
Description: partial 16S ribosomal RNA
Rfam family: Bacterial small subunit ribosomal RNA
Source: RNAcentral